UUCAUUUUAAUCGAAGAAGAACAGGGAUUGGGCAAUUUCAGUUUCGCGAAGGUCACCGAACCGAAACCGUUAGUUGUCGUAUUCGCUAGCAGGUUUGAGAUUCUAUUGGCGGCGGGUUGAGAUUCUAUUGGGAGCGGGUCAUUGGUCUUGAUCUGUUCAUUUCGCGAUCGGCAUAUUUCACAAUAGGUAAGCUAACUGCGACAGCAGCGACAGUUUUCUGGUGCGGCAGUGGUGUUGGUGGUUGUGCUAUUGGAGGAGUGAAGAAGGUUUUUGUUAUAUCAUUGACGAGCAAGGUAAACACUGGUAUUAAUAAGUCGUGUAGAUCGGGAGCGGUGGUGGUGUAGGUUAGGUCGUAACCCGAUUUUGUUUAAUUUUGUGGUUUGUUUUGUUUGGAAUUGAGUGAUAAAUUGUCUAUUUGAUAAAGAAGCAACCAACGACGACGACUUGGACCACGACUCUACGAAGCUGAAGAUGGAGAAUUUAACGUUUAAGAUUGAGAAUUCGGAUGUUGUAGAGGAGCCUACUCCAUCGGUGACGUGAAUAUUAGUGAAGGAGGGUAGUAUACAACCCAGUGGAGCUCAUAGUGCUAGAUAAGAGCUACUAAAGAGAGAGGUAGGAGGAAGCUUCCAGUGAUGGGGUUAAUCAUCAUAUGAUCUCGUAUUUGUCUCUGAUCAACUUUUGUUAAGUGUUUGGUGAAUAAGAAUCUCUGAAAGCAAGAACUUUUGUUGUAUACCUGUGUUGAUGUUCAUUUUAAUCUCUGGUUUUUUUAUGCUAUUGGUUUUCUCAGGUUGGUUGAUUAAAGAACAUAGCCGGCCUGGCCAAACAUGCCCAAGGAGUUGUUUGACUGGUUAUGGAUAGGUAGUUCUGUUAGCUCAGUACCUCAUUACAUCGAUCUGUGAAAAGUUUUAAUAUCUCCUCCAAAGGUUUGGAGAUAUAGCUUAUUGUGCAAUCACAGCUGAUCAACAAGUAAAAGGUUAUGGCACUGAACUGAUAAAUCACUUAAAACAUGAUGCAUGGGAUGUUGUUGGGUGAACCCGACGUAUGCAAUGGUUCCUCUUGUAUAUGUUUCGCACAAUGAUCUAGCUGUGGCUCAUUUUUUUAAUUCCACUCAGCAUGAGUGCUAAUUUAUUCACCUCUGCAUCUUUUUGAAAGAUUGUAUUGCAGUUUUUGCUCUGCAUUUUUCAUGGCUUAUCUGUAUCCAAUAUCAGCAGCUAAGGUGAGCUAUCAAUAAUUUCUUGGAGGAGAUUGCAUUACUUGAGCUAACGUGGUUUCACAGCUAGUUCUGGGUGGCAUAUUGUCUGUUGGGAUUGUGAAGCGAAAGGAACGUCUCACUCCUUAAAUGAUAAACCAUUUGUCUUCUGAUUUUGUCUUAAAGCCUUUUUUCUUUAGUUUGUACUAGCUUCUUGUAAAUGUUC
Argentina anserina (silverweed cinquefoil) is the source of this 1415-nucleotide long non-coding RNA. RefSeq lists it as uncharacterized. The transcript is spliced from 3 exons. The record is from RefSeq and is a predicted model, not a curated record. Lineage: Eukaryota; Viridiplantae; Streptophyta; Magnoliopsida; Rosales; Rosaceae.